CAUGCUGAUAUACUACGCUACGUGGUGAAUGGUUUGGCUUGGGUGCCGAUGAAGGGCGUGGCAAGCUGCGAUAAGCCUCGGGUAGACGCACGCAGUCCGAGAUCCGAGGAUGCCCGAAUUGGACUUCCUAACGCCUUCGGGCGUUGCUCCGUGAGGAGCGGGAACCCCCUGAACCGAAACAUCCUAUUAAGGGGAGGAAAAGAAACCAACUGGGAUCUCCUGACUAGCAGCGAGCGAAAAGGAGAAAGCCUAAACUGAAUUCUCCAGCGACGAGCUGGCGAAGAUGUGGUGUAUGGGACAAGGUUGUCUCUAGUCGACGAAGUAGAAGUGUUCUGGAAAGCUCCGCCAUAGAGGGUGAUAGCCCCUUAUACGAAAGUCGAAAGUGACUGCUUUGUUUCCGGAGUAGCACGCCUUGGGAUUGGCGUGUGAAACUGGGAGACAUCAGCUUCCAAGGCUAAAUACAACCCAAGACCGAUAGCGCACUAGUACGGUGACGGAAAAAUGAAAAGUCCCCCGCGAGGGGCGUCAAAAGAGCCUGAACCCACGUAGUUAUUGACGAUUGAGGCCCGUAAGGUAAUCCACGCAAAGGAGGCCGGGGUAACCCGGCAUUACGAGCGUGGCUAAUCCGGGGUCUCAUGCUUCGUUUAGAAUCACGAGCCGGGGAGUUUACCGUAGUGGCAAGCAUAAGGGCGCGAUGCCCGAAAGCGCAGGGAAACCGAAAUGCGAGCAGCCGUAAGGCAAGUCGCUGCGUCUGAAAGGGCGCGGAGUCACGACGGUCAGACUAGAAAGCAGAUGAUCUAUGCCAGGGCAAGGUGAAGUCAGGCGAAAGCCUGAUGGAGGCCUGCAAGGGUGCUAACGUGCAAAUUGCUCCCCUGACCUUGGUAUAGGGGCAAAAGACCAAUCUAAUCUGCUGAUAGCUAGUUCCCAUCGAAGUAUGUCGCAGCAUAGUCUCCAGGGAGGCAUCUGGCGGGGUAGAGCACCAAUCGGAAAACACGGAAGGGAAACCUUUCACUUUCCUUUUGAACUCCGAAUACGCCAGAGCCGUGGAACUGGGGAGACGGAACGCACGGGUUAAGCUCGUGCUUCGUGAGGGGAGCAACCCGGACUGGGGUUAAGGCCCCCAAGUGCUGGCUAAGUGACAAACAAAAGAGCGUCGUAAGCCUAAGACAGCGGGGAGGUAGGCUUAGAAGCAGCCACCCUUCAAAGAAAUCGUAACAGAUCACCCGCCGAGGCUUAGGGCCUCAAAGAUGGACGGGUCUUAAGCCAGCCGCCGAUACCCUAGAGGUCCGCGUAAGCGUAUUCUGGUAGAUGGGCGUCCCGAUUGGGCAGAAGCAGGGCUGUGAAGUCCUGUGGACCGGUCGGGAGUGAGUAUCCCGGCGGUAGUAACAGCAUAGUCGAGUGGGAAUCUCGAUCGCCGAAAGAGCAAGGGUUUCCCGGCAACGCGUCGUCAGCCGGGAGUUAGUCGAUCCUAAGGCCAGCUUUAACAUGCCUGGUCGAAUGGGAAACAGGUUAACACUCCUGUACUACGGUAGUACAUGUGGCGACACAAGGUCCGCAGCGUGACGCUUCGGGGUAGGUUGAGCAGAACUGUCAUUCUGUUUAACUAUCCAAUUCUGGGGAGUACCGUAAUGGUGAGAACCAGAAGAAAAUAGGAAUAGCCCCCCGUUUAGGGGGGUUCAGCCGAGCCCUGGAGCCCAUGAAAAGCGCUGCGGAAGGGAUCUAUCGUAUUCGUACCCAGAACCAACACCGGUGCUCAGGGUGAGUAGCCCAAGGCGUGUCGGGUAACUCUACGCGAGGGAACUCGGCAAAUUAGCCCCGUAUCUUUGGUAUAAGGGGUGCCUACGGCAUUCCCGCAAGGGGGUGCGGUAGGUCGCAGUGACUAGGGGGUUCCGGCUGUUUAAUAAAAACAUAGGUAGCCGCUAGCCCGUAAGGGUGUGUACGGCUAUUGAAUCCUGUCCAGUGGUGGUACCUCAAACUUGAUUUCAACCGAGCUAAGGGCCGCUAAACGACGGGAGUAACUCUGACUCUCUCAAGGUAGCCAAAUGCCUUGUCGUGUAAGUUACGACGUGCAUGAAUGGAUCCACGAGGACCCCGCUGUCCCCGCGUAUAACCCGGUGAACCCACCUGCUGGACGAACAGUCCAGCGUCUCCCAGUGGGACAAGAAGACCCCGUAGAGCUUUACUGCAGUCAGUCGCUGGGGUGAGGUUACAUUUGCAGAGCGUAUGUGGGAGCCUAUGAACACGGAUCUCCGGGUCCGUAGGAGGCAACAAUGGAACACCACACAUUUGCGACCUCCCCCCUCACCGAGGCCAUGUAGCCCGGAACAACGGCUGAUGGGCAGUUCGGCUGGGGCGGCACCCCCUUGAAAAGGAAUCGAGGGGGCCCAAAGGCUAGCUCAGGAGGGACAGAAACCCUCCGUAGAGGGUAAAGCCAAAAGCUAGCCUGACCGGAAUCAUCCAAACUAAGUGUUCCGGAGGCGAAAGCCGGGCUUAACGAGCUAUCGUGUCCUUACAGAUGAGGGCCGGUAGUGCCAGAAAAGUUACCUCGGGGAUAACAGGCUUGUCGCGGGCGAGAGUUCGCAUCGACCUCGCGGUUCGGUACCUCGAUGUCGGCUCUUCCUAUCCUGGCCUUGCAUAAGGGGCCAAGGGUGAGGCUGCUCGCCUAUCAAAAGGGAUCGUGAGCUGGGUUUAGACCGUCGCGAGACAGGUCGGUUUUUAUCUACUGGGAGUGCAGGAUGUCUGAGGGGAAAGGGCCUUCAGUACGAGAGGAACGAGGCGCUGGAGCCUAUAGUUUACCGGUUGUCUGACAAGGCAUGCCGGGCAGCCACGCUCCUGCGGAUAAGGGCUGAAAGCAUCUAAGUCCGAAGCCGCUCCCAAAAAUAGACAUCCGUCCGGAACGAAAGUUCUGGUGAAGGGCACCCGUAAAAGACGGGUUCGAUGGAGAGGCGGUGUACGUGCCAAGACUUCGGUCGAGACACUCAGCCGGCCUCCCCCAACAGCCCGAAAUGUCAGCAUU
This 3016-nucleotide ribosomal RNA is filed under the name Candidatus Bathyarchaeota archaeon. RNAcentral describes it as "23S ribosomal RNA". It matches the Rfam family "Archaeal large subunit ribosomal RNA". Lineage: Archaea; Thermoproteati; Candidatus Bathyarchaeota. The record is from RNAcentral.